Molecule: transfer RNA, 72 nt
Filed under: Camelus bactrianus (Bactrian camel)
Lineage: Eukaryota; Metazoa; Chordata; Mammalia; Artiodactyla; Camelidae
Also listed under: 1 other name
Rfam family: tRNA
About the family: Transfer RNA (tRNA) molecules are approximately 80 nucleotides in length. Their secondary structure includes four short double-helical elements and three loops (D, anti-codon, and T loops).
Source: Rfam by way of RNAcentral
GAGGGUGGAGCUCAGUGGCAGAGCAUGUGCUUAGCGUGCACGAGGUCGUGGGUUCAAUCCCCAGGACCUCCA